This 263-nucleotide ribosomal RNA is filed under the name uncultured bacterium. RNAcentral describes it as "partial small subunit ribosomal RNA". It matches the Rfam family "Bacterial small subunit ribosomal RNA", at positions 26 to 285 of the family's 1533-position model. The record is from RNAcentral.
AGGACGAACGCUGGCGGCGUGCUUAACACAUGCAAGUCGAGCGAGGCCCCUCCCUUCGGGAGGGUGUCCUAGCGGCGAACGGGUGAGUAACACGUGGGCAACCUGCCCUCAGCUCUGGGAUAACCCCCGGGAAACCGGGGCUAAUACCGGAUACGACCUCCACGGGCAUCUGCGGAGGUGGAAAGGUUUUUUCCGGCUGAGGAUGGGCCCGCGGCCUAUCAGCUAGUUGGUGGGGUGAUGGCCCACCAAGGCGACGACGGGUA